Lontra canadensis (Northern American river otter) is the source of this 686-nucleotide long non-coding RNA. RefSeq lists it as uncharacterized. The transcript has 2 exons. The record is from RefSeq and is a predicted model, not a curated record. Lineage: Eukaryota; Metazoa; Chordata; Mammalia; Carnivora; Mustelidae.
CGUUUACCCCAGCUGGGGAGGACCGGGCUCUGUACGCGACGCCUCAGCGGCCGCUAGAGUCGGAUAAAAGGCUGCCUAGGACACAGCCCCAAAGCACGCAGCUCCUGGGUCUAGACACAAGUGGCGGCCUGAGCACUGUUCCUUCCGGUGGAAGAUUGCAGACUGCUACAUACCCCUGGCCAGGAGCUGACUUCUUACAGCACCUCUGGGACCUUUCUACAGCAGGAUAUUGUAAUGGGGUAAGUCUGUGCACACUAACCUGGGAGAGAGCCAAGGUGUAUGCGUUGUGACAAUUUGCAGUGUCCCAGCAGAAAAGAGUUUUGGAUAUCCUUGGUACCUUUAUGGGAAAUCCUUUAAUAACUGGGAAGUUAUUCUUACAGCCUUUUUCUCUCCAGGUUUGCUAUUCACCUCCACUUUUCACAUAUGAAAAAAACUGGGUCCGUGAGGGAAGGGACUUGCCUGAUAAGCUGGGGUCCUGACUCCUGGGACAGAUCUGGGGUGGGGCCUGGAUGGGAAGGACCGAUAGGUAUGGUGUCAGCCCCUAGACUCACCUGGUUGCUUCCUGUAGGCCAUUUUAGGAAAAGGUCCAGAAACAAGACCCCUCAGGCCAGAAAAGGGACUGAAUAGGUUGCAUAAGGCAACUCCUGCUUUUGUACUGGAAAACCCAAAUAAAAGGCUGCUACUGA